GGUUAAGUUAGAAAGGGCGCACGGUGGAUGCCUUGACACUAGGAGUCGAUGAAGGACGGGACUAACGCCGAUAUGCUUCGGGGAGCUGUAAGUAAGCUUUGAUCCGAAGAUUUCCGAAUGGGGAAACCCACUAUACGUAAUGGUAUGGUAUCCUUACCUGAAUACAUAGGGUAUGGAAGACAGACCCAGGGAACUGAAACAUCUAAGUACCUGGAGGAAGAGAAAGCAAAUGCGAUUUCCUGAGUAGCGGCGAGCGAAACGGAACAUAGCCCAAACCAAGAGGCUUGCCUCUUGGGGUUGUAGGACAUUCUAUACGGAGUUACAAAGGAACGAGGUAGACGAAGCGACCUGGAAAGGUCCGUCGUAGAGGGUAACAACCCCGUAGUCGAAACUUCGUUCUCUCUUGAAUGUAUCCUGAGUACGGCGGAACACGUGAAAUUCCGUCGGAAUCUGGGAGGACCAUCUCCCAAGGCUAAAUACUCCCUAGUGAUCGAUAGUGAACCAGUACCGUGAGGGAAAGGUGAAAAGCACCCCGGAAGGGGAGUGAAAGAGAUCCUGAAACCGUGUGCCUACAAAUAGUCAGAGCCCGUUAAUGGGUGAUGGCGUGCCUUUUGUAGAAUGAACCGGCGAGUUACGAUCCCGUGCAAGGUUAAGCUGAAGAGGCGGAGCCGCAGCGAAAGCGAGUCUGAAUAGGGCGUUUAGUACGUGGUCGUAGACCCGAAACCAGGUGAUCUACCCAUGUCCAGGGUGAAGUUCAGGUAACACUGAAUGGAGGCCCGAACCCACGCACGUUGAAAAGUGCGGGGAUGAGGUGUGGGUAGCGGAGAAAUUCCAAUCGAACCUGGAGAUAGCUGGUUCUCCCCGAAAUAGCUUUAGGGCUAGCCUUAAGUGUAAGAGUCUUGGAGGUAGAGCACUGAUUGAACUAGGGGUCCUCAUCGGAUUACCGAAUUCAGUCAAACUCCGAAUGCCAAUGACUUAUCCUUAGGAGUCAGACUGCGAGUGAUAAGAUCCGUAGUCAAGAGGGAAACAGCCCAGAUCGCCAGCUAAGGUCCCAAAGUGUGUAUUAAGUGGAAAAGGAUGUGGAGUUGCUUAGACAACUAGGAUGUUGGCUUAGAAGCAGCCACCAUUUAAAGAGUGCGUAAUAGCUCACUAGUCGAGUGACUCUGCGCCGAAAAUGUACCGGGGCUAAAUACACCACCGAAGCUGCGAAUUGAUACCGAUGGUAUCAGUGGUAGGGGAGCGUUCUAAGUGCAGUGAAGUCAGACCGGAAGGACUGGUGGAGCGCUUAGAAGUGAGAAUGCCGGUAUGAGUAGCGAAAGACGGGUGAGAAUCCCGUCCACCGAAUGCCUAAGGUUUCCUGAGGAAGGCUCGUCCGCUCAGGGUUAGUCAGGACCUAAGCCGAGGCCGACAGGCGUAGGCGAUGGACAACAGGUUGAUAUUCCUGUACCACCUCUUUAUCGUUUGAGCAAUGGAGGGACGCAGAAGGAUAGAAGAAGCGUGCGAUUGGUUGUGCACGUCCAAGCAGUUAGGCUGAUAAGUAGGCAAAUCCGCUUAUCGUGAAGGCUGAGCUGUGAUGGGGAAGCUCCUUAUGGAGCGAAGUCUUUGAUUCCCCGCUGCCAAGAAAAGCUUCUAGCGAGAUAAAAGGUGCCUGUACCGCAAACCGACACAGGUAGGCGAGGAGAGAAUCCUAAGGUGUGCGAGAGAACUCUGGUUAAGGAACUCGGCAAAAUGACCCCGUACUUCGGGAGAAGGGGUGCUUUCUAACGGAAGCCGCAGUGAUAGCUCGAUUUGCCUAUAGAG
Molecule: non-coding RNA, 1800 nt
Organism: Bacillus thuringiensis serovar israelensis ATCC 35646
Lineage: Bacteria; Bacillati; Bacillota; Bacilli; Caryophanales; Bacillaceae
Source: Rfam